GAGUUUGAUCAUGGCUCAGGACGAACGCUGGCGGCGUGCUUAACACAUGCAAGUCGAGCGGAAAGGCCCUUCGGGGUACUCGAGCGGCGAACGGGUGAGUAACACGUGAGCAACCUGCCCUAGGCUUUGGGAUAACCCUCGGAAACGGGGGCUAAUACCGAAUAUUACUUGGUCUCGCAUGAGGUUGGGUGGAAAGUUUUUCGGCCUAGGAUGGGCUCGCGGCCUAUCAGCUUGUUGGUGGGGUAAUGGCCUACCAAGGCGACGACGGGUAGCCGGCCUGAGAGGGCGACCGGCCACACUGGGACUGAGACACGGCCCAGACUCCUACGGGAGGCAGCAGUGGGGAAUAUUGCACAAUGGGCGGAAGCCUGAUGCAGCGACGCCGCGUGAGGGAUGACGGCCUUCGGUUGUAACCGUCUUUCUAGCAGGGACGAAGCGAGAGUGACGGUA
Molecule: ribosomal RNA, 450 nt
Filed under: uncultured bacterium
Lineage: Bacteria
Description: bacterial SSU rRNA
Rfam family: Bacterial small subunit ribosomal RNA
Source: RNAcentral